Molecule: unclassified non-coding RNA, 260 nt
Filed under: plant metagenome
Description: partial contains small subunit ribosomal RNA, internal transcribed spacer 1, and 5.8S ribosomal RNA
Source: RNAcentral
UCUCCGUCGGUGAACCAGCGGAGGGAUCAUUACCGAGUUUACAACUCCCAAACCCGAUGUGAACGUUACCAAACUGUUGCCUCGGCGGAAUCCCUGCCCCGGCUGCGCCGCAGCCCCUGACCAAGGCGCCCGCCGGAGGACCAACCAAAAACUCCUUUGUAUACCCCCUCGCGGGUUUUUUAUAUAUGCGCCAUCUCGGCGCCUCUCGUAGGCGUUUCGAAAAUGAAUCAAAACUUUCAACAACGGAUCUCUUGGUUCUG